GGCAGGUAGUCUAGUGGUUAGAGUGUAGAGGUGGCAGGUAGCCUAGUGGUUAGAGUGUAGAGGAGGCAGGUAGUCUAGUGGUUAGAGUGUAGAGGAGGCAGGUAGUCUAGUGGUUAGAGUGUAGAGGAGGCAGGUAGCCUAGUGGUUAGAGUGUAGGGGCGGUAGGUAGCCUAGUGGUUAGAGUGUAGGGGAGGCAGGUAGCCUAGUGGUUAGAGUGCAGAGGAGGCAGGUAGCCUAGUGGUUAGAGUGUAGAGGAGGCAGGUAGCCUAGUGGUUAGAGUGUAGAGGAGGCAGGUAGCCUAGUGGUUAGAGUGUAGAGGAGGCAGGUAGCCUAGUGGUUAGAGUGUAGAGGUGGCAGGUAGCCUAGUGGUUAGAGUGUAGAGGAGGCAGGUAGCCUAGUGGUUAGAGUGUAGAGGAGGCUGGUAGCCUAGUGGUUAGAGUGUGGAGGAGGCAGGUAGCCUAGUGGUUAGAGUGUGGAGGAGGCAGGUAGCCUCGUGGUUAGAGUGUAGAGGUGGCAGGUAGCCUAGUGGUUAGAGUGUAGACGUGGCAGGUAGCCUAGUGGUUAGAGUGUGGAGGAGGCAGGUAGCCUCGUGGUUAGAGUGUAGAGGGGGCAGGUAGCCUAGUGGUUAGAGUGUAGACGUGGCAGGUAGCCUAGUGGUUAGAGUGUGGAGGAGGCAGG
Molecule: long non-coding RNA, 678 nt
Organism: Oncorhynchus tshawytscha (Chinook salmon)
Lineage: Eukaryota; Metazoa; Chordata; Actinopteri; Salmoniformes; Salmonidae
Source: Ensembl